This 893-nucleotide long non-coding RNA is filed under the name Pomacea canaliculata. RNAcentral describes it as "uncharacterized LOC112559004, transcript variant X1". The record is from RNAcentral. Lineage: Eukaryota; Metazoa; Mollusca; Gastropoda; Architaenioglossa; Ampullariidae.
CGACAGGGGAUCAGUUAAGGAAGACACACGCGAGCAGCCGUGGCCAUUGUUUCUACAUUCUCAUUUGGGAACAACAGCUGCAUGAUGCUGUUCUCUCACUCUGCGUAUUUGAAGAUAGUGGAACCUGGCGUGUGUUUGCUGGUCUGGCAGAUGGAACUGUAGCUGUGCUGGAUAUGGAAUAUAUUCUGUGCUCAUCUUUACAUGAUUACACCAGUGAUGGACACCUUUGUGGUGGCUGUCAUCUCAGCAGAGUGUUUCAUCUGAGGUGAAAAGAAACACAUAGUUUUCAACAUCUUUGCAGCUCUUCCAAGAUUAAACAUUUCACAUUUAACUCACUAAUGUACACUAGACGCUAUGGACAGCUUCACAGUGUCAUCCAACCCGUAUGAUCACAUUCUGACACUGCAACCUGGACUUCCGGGUGUCUGGAUCUCAGUGCGUGGAUCAUCAAUCUUAGAACUCUGGGAUCCUGACGCUUUGGUGUGCAAGAUGUUGUAUGACACUUGUGCAAGACGAUACCCUAAUCUUCGCAAAGAUGAUGAGAUGUACUUCAACAAAGCCAACAUUACUUGCAUCUGCAUCUUAACUACACAGUCUGGGUUGGAACAGGGGAGGGAAACUUGAUCACAUAUGUCUUCACACAUCAAGGCUCAAAGUCACCCUCAGACUGUUCCUCUUUCGUCGGUUCCUAUUCGGACAACUUUUCAGCCCUGAUGAGUAGGAAAGCGAUGAUGACCAAUCUGUCUUCUUGUGCUGAGGCUUACGAUCCUGUGCGGGAAGCUGCUAUGAAGUAACUGGUAUGUCCAGCGAAUCAUUGGUAGCUCAAGUGCACGACUAGUCAGCCUGACUGUCAAGUAAAACAUAAAUUUCAACUGGGAGCUUGAUAUAAAAAC